RNAcentral lists this ribosomal RNA (272 nucleotides) under uncultured bacterium. Its description in RNAcentral is "partial 16S ribosomal RNA". It matches the Rfam family "Bacterial small subunit ribosomal RNA", at positions 524 to 794 of the family's 1533-position model. The record is from RNAcentral.
UACGAAGGGUGCAAGCGUUAAUCGGAAUUACUGGGCGUAAAGCGCGCGUAGGUGGUUCAGUAAGUUGGAAGUGAAAUCCCCCGGGCUCAACCUGGGAACUGCUUUCAAAACUGCUGAGCUAGAGUACGGUAGAGGGUGGUGGAAUUUCCUGUGUAGCGGUGAAAUGCGUAGAUAUAGGAAGGAACACCAGUGGCGAAGGCGACCACCUGGACUGAUACUGACACUGAGGUGCGAAAGCGUGGGGAGCAAACAGGAUUAGAUACCCCCGUAGU